CCUACGGGUGGCAGCAGUGAGGAAUAUUGGUCAAUGGACGCAAGUCUGAACCAGCCAUGCCGCGUGCAGGAAGACGGCUCUAUGAGUUGUAAACUGCUUUUUUACGAGGGUAAACGCAGAUACGCGUAUCUGUCUGAAAGUAUCGUACGAAUAAGGAUCGGCUAACUCCGGGCCAGCAGCCGCGGUAAUACGGAGGAUGCAAGCGUUAUCCGGAUUUAUUGGGUUUAACGGGUGGGUAGGCGGUCGGAUAAGUUAGAGGUGAAAGCCCGAGGCUCAACUUCGGAAUUGCCUUUGAUACUGUUAGGCUAGAGAGUAGAUGCGGUAGGUGGAAUGUAUGGUGUAGCGGUGAAAUGCUUAGAGAUCAUACAGAACACCGAUUGCGAAGGCAGCUUACCAAGCUACUUCUGACGUUGAGGCACGAAAGCGUGGGGAGCAAACAGGAUUAGAAACCCGGGUAGUC
RNAcentral lists this ribosomal RNA (460 nucleotides) under uncultured bacterium. RNAcentral describes it as "partial 16S ribosomal RNA". It matches the Rfam family "Bacterial small subunit ribosomal RNA", at positions 338 to 795 of the family's 1533-position model. The record is from RNAcentral.